UAUACUAUGUAUUAUGUAACAUAAAACAUUUAUAAUAUAUAUAAUUUUAUAUAUGUACCUAAAAAUAAAAAUCAGAAUGUUUGUAGCCAACUCUGCAAAGUGAUAAUGUAUUUUUUUAAGAAAAAUCUUUAAACACAAACUAUUUUAAACACAUAAUUAAAUGUUUUUUUAAACUAUAAAAAACAUGAAGCAGCUUAUUAAAUAAAACUGUUUAGCUCAUGACCUCACCUAAACUCACAUACUACUCAGCAAUUACUAAUCAGUUUCCUUCAAAACAGGACCCUGGCAGUAAGCACCUGCAAGCACUAAUGAAGGCAACAAUUCAUAACCAAGAUUGUCCUUCAGAAUCGUCUAAAGGAUUUCAGUACACACGUGGACCAGAAGUCCAAGCCAGAGCUCCCAGAGAAGAAUUUUCAAGCACCCCCCUCCCACAAAAGUGGUGAGAGUAUCAUAGAAUAAAUCAUCACCAGGUAAGCUAGCUUGAGACA
Molecule: long non-coding RNA, 488 nt
Filed under: Sus scrofa (pig)
Lineage: Eukaryota; Metazoa; Chordata; Mammalia; Artiodactyla; Suidae
Description: lncRNA (ENSSSCG00015061800.1)
Source: RNAcentral